RNAcentral lists this long non-coding RNA (2454 nucleotides) under Physcomitrium patens. RNAcentral describes it as "long non-coding RNA (PPAT_LNC006964)". The record is from RNAcentral. Lineage: Eukaryota; Viridiplantae; Streptophyta; Bryopsida; Funariales; Funariaceae.
UCAAGCAGAAGAAAAUUGGUCGCUACACAAUUGCUAGAACCACAUCCAGCCAUAUGCUGCCCUCGUCACACAAAUCUCAGACUUUACAAAGCACUGAUAUUAUUGAGUUCAGUCUCGAGUCAUGUAACUCCAUGAUCCAAUUCUAUCCAAGAAAAUCGCGAAGAAACACCACUGCAGUGACGCAUAGCAUGACCCCAUAACACUAUCUAAUUAUUUCAUUUCAGAACUUAAAACCUCGAAAGCCUCUCUAACACGGAGAUGCCUCUACGAGUGCAUGAGUCGUACGCACUGACAUCAAAAGAAAGUCCAAAAGACACACAAAUCACAACACACCCGGAACUGGGAGGACCGAUCCGACGAGACCCAUCAAAUAAUCCAACACCUUCCCAAUCCUCUACACCGUUGUAGGGUUGAAAAUCACACAUGGAUGAAGAGCCUCCUCAAUGUUUCCGCAUUUCUGCACAUUAAAAACUGGAGGGUGCAACAUCAUCGCUUCGCUAGAAUCGUGACUAACAGCAAAAACCACAAGAGACAAUACUUGCUACCAACACUGUAGUCAUCCUAACGACACAUAGCUACUUCUAUGACUAAAGUAAGCCAAAAGCACCACAGAGAUUAGAACCACGGCCAUCGUUUACUAAGUCGUCCACAUCUUCUUACAAAGUGGUAACGGAUACAAGUUGUUCAUCAUUCCUCUCAGCCAUUCAAAAACAACCACAAUGUAUUUUCAAAUGUAGGUCGCAUGGUCUGUCCCAGAGGGUCAUAGCAGCGACGCAGCUCCCCAGGGCAAUGGAAUAUGCCACCUUACUAUAACGGAGUACGCUCUGCAUCAACGAAGAUGAAAACCUACAUCGCGUGGUAAGAUGUUUCUCUGACGUUCACAAAGGGCUCUACGACCACAAACGCAUCAAGUAGAUGCAAAUGGUCGCUCCAUAAUUGUUAGGCCAACACCGCGCCAAGAGUGCUGGCCCCGUCAUCCAGGGCACACAUGCCAUGUAAACCUGCUCAGCUUCAGGAUUCAAGCACAGAACGCCCAACUCUCCUUAAUCUAUUCAAUCCUAACGCAAAACGACAGAAAGAGGCCGAGGCCGGGAUAGAUACCCCAAAUCCUAAAACCUAAAGCCAACUACACCAGUGUAGAGGUCAGAACCACAACCGUGUUUACAACUUCGUCCACACGUCUUCUUUCAGAGUGGUAACGGAUAUGUAUUGAUUAUUAUUUCUCUUGCAUUUGAGUUAUCUACAGUAUGAGUUUAACUGUAGGUCGCAUGGUCUGUCCCAAAGGGUUACGGCAGCAAUACUGCUCCCCAGGGCAACGGAAUAUGCCACCUCACUAUCAUGGAGUACAUCUUGCAUCAACAGUGAUGCAGACCUACGUCACAAAACAGCAUCUGUCUUCGACGUUAACAAAGGACUCUACGACCAGAAGCGCAUCAAGCCGAUUCAAAUGGUCGCCCCAUGGUUGUUAAGACAACACCCCGCCAAGAGUGCUACCCCCGUCACCAAGCUUCAACCUACAAGCUAUCAAUCAGACCAGGUUUUCAUCACAGACGAGAUCAGAACCACAGCCAUGGUUUACAACUUCGUCCACACAUCUUCUAUCAGAGUGGUGACGGAUAUGUUUCUCGUCAUUUCUCUCAGCCAUUCAAGACAACUACGUAUGCGUUCACAUGGAGGUCGCAUGGUCUGUCCCAGCGGGUUACGGCAGCGAUGCUGCUCCCGAGGGCAAUGGAAUAUGCCACCUCACUAUCAUGGAGCAACCAACCUCACACAACAGCGUCUGUCUUCGACGUUAACAAGGGACUCUACGACCAGAAGCACAUCAUGUAGAUGUAAAUGGUCGCUCCGUAAUUGUUAGGUCAACACCCCGCCAAGAGUGCUUACCGCGUCGUCUAACUUCCACCGUGAGAUGGUUCCAAUCGAGACCAGAAAAAUCAAGGCGCAUCCUCUGGUGAAUACAUCAAGAUAUCAGCCGGCACUAGCAACUUUAUCUCACCGAAUAACCUAAACUCUGGACCAACUCGAAACACAGACUCCGUACCAUAAGUGAGCCGAUAACCAAAGGCCAGGUACGAGAGCAGUCAUGCAAAGAGGAACGAACGCGUCUAGUCAGCUUAUUACUCAAUCUGACGACAAUCAGGCCCUCUUCCAGACUCCACCACAAGAUGAACACUGGAACCCCCACUCUUGAAACAACGUGUCAUGUUCCACGCAACAUGCCAACAAAAAACUCCAUAUACAUUCAAGUCGAUCAUCUGAAAUACGUAGACACUUCCACCACAUUAACGGCCAAAGUUAGGGCUCGUUCAACCAAAUUGUACUACAUCUCAACUAUUAAACUGUUAAACUCGGAUGUGCCGCGCGCACUGAAUUGCAUGAAGCUCUGGCAUGCAUCAAGAGACAGAGAAAGACAGAGAGAGUGGGGAAAAGGAACUGCUGUCCUGGUUCCUGAUG